Molecule: transfer RNA, 76 nt
Filed under: bacterium
Lineage: Bacteria
Description: tRNA-Val
Rfam family: tRNA
About the family: Transfer RNA (tRNA) molecules are approximately 80 nucleotides in length.
Source: RNAcentral
GGGCAGUUAGCUCAGCGGCUAGAGCGCUUGGUUUACAUCCAAGAAGUCACAGGUUCAAAUCCUGUACUGCCCACCA